CCUACGGGGGGCAGCAGUGAGGAAUAUUGGUCAAUGGGCGGAAGCCUGAACCAGCCAAGUCGCGUGAGGGAUUAAGGCCCUGCGGGUCGUAAACUUCUUUUGUCGGGGAGUAGUGGUUUGGACGCGUCCGGACCGGGAGAGUACCCGGAGAAAAAGCAUCGGCUAACCCCGUGCCAGCAGCCGCGGUAAUAGGGAGGAUGCGAGAGUUAUCCGGAUUUAUUGGGUUUAAAGGGUGCGUAGGCGGGCAUUUAGGCCGGCGGUCAAAUGUCGGGGCUAAACCCCGGCCUGCCGUCGGAACUGGGUGCCUUGAGUGGGCGAGAGGUAUGCGGAAUGCGUGGUGUAGCGGUGAAAUGCAUAGAUAUCACGCAGAACCCCGAUUGCGAAGGCAGCUUACUAAACUGCCACUGACAUUGAUGCUCGAAAGUGUGGGUAUCAAACAGGAUUAGAUACCCUAGUAGUC
This 460-nucleotide ribosomal RNA is filed under the name uncultured bacterium. RNAcentral describes it as "partial 16S ribosomal RNA". It matches the Rfam family "Bacterial small subunit ribosomal RNA", at positions 338 to 795 of the family's 1533-position model. The record is from RNAcentral.